This 1294-nucleotide long non-coding RNA is filed under the name Ornithorhynchus anatinus (platypus). Its description in RNAcentral is "lncRNA (ENSOANG00000043998.1)". Lineage: Eukaryota; Metazoa; Chordata; Mammalia; Monotremata; Ornithorhynchidae. The record is from RNAcentral.
GAGCGCUCUGCCCGGGGAGCUGGCCCUGGUGCUGAAGAGCAAGCGCCCGCCCUUCCUCCUCCCGGGGGCCGAGCCCUGGCCGCAGCGUGUCGCGGAUGGCGGGUCCCCCGCCCCCCCGCCCCCCUCGCCCCCCCCGCCCCCCGGGGUCCCGGGGGGUGGGGGCGGGGGGGCGGGGCUCUGUCCUCUGCAGGCGCAUGCGCCGCUGUCGCCUGCCGCGGGGGCGGGGCGGCCGGCGGGGCGGGCGGCAGGGCUCCGGGCUCCCUUCCCUCGGCCCGUCCCCUCCCUCCACCCCGCCGGCCCCAUGCCCUGCCCGCCGGGCGCCCGGCCGCCGCUGCCUGGGAGCCCCCGCCGCCUCAGCGUUUCUCACAGUGUGAGUGCCGGGGUUUGGGGGGGGGGGGGAGAGGGGUGCAGCUCCCCUUCUGGCCGCCGCGGGGCGCUCGCCCGCCCAGUCCCCUCCGCGCCCCUCCGCGCCCCUCCGCGCCCCUCCGCGCCCGCCUUUCCCACGGCUGGGAGCCCCGGCUCGGGCUGCUCCUCUCUUCUCGCUCGACUUGGGCACGGAUAAGUGCUACUUCUAUGUGAUUUCAGCCAAAGGGAGACCCCUUCCUUCUUCCUUAUCUUCUAUGGAGAACUCAGACCCGACUUUUCCACCGACGCCUCCUGUUCUUUCCGUGGUCUUUGCCACCGCCUGGCGUUGUCCUUGAGUCUGAGGAAUGGUUGACAGGCUGACGGAGAGGGCUGUAAAGUCCUCUAACUAUUGGAAAAGCAAUGCCCGAAAGUACUUCAAUACUAAAUCAGUCCCAUUUUGACAUGGACCAAGUCAUUACUCGAAGACAAAUGCUGAGGCUAUAGACUUAUUUGUAUCGGCUGAAGUUGACGGACUGAGCUUUGGAAAUUUUCCAUGACGGGAAAAUAGCAAGAGGAAAAAAAAAAAAAGGCUUUCUUGGCACAGUUGCCGGCUUGUCCGACGCUCGCCGCCUUUGAACCUUGCAACGACACCGUAAGCUGGAUUCCAAAGUGAUUCUGAGCCUGAGAAACCUAAAACCAAAAGGUCCUUGGAAGGCUCGGGCCUUUACCCUCUCCAAAUCCGAGCUGCCACUUGGUCAAACUUAACAAAACUCAAUGGUGCGGAUCGAACACUUGGGGAACGAAGACGAAGGAGGUGCAGGUUCGUGGGCGGGAAAUGGAAAGUUGGGCUGAAAAUAGGGCUGUGCUUCCAAGAGAUCCAUCUCAUGGUUUAGAAGCUUCCUACAUCUGCUGAAGACAAGGGAGCCCAUUUUUCUCUCCAGGGCCUGGC